This is a non-coding RNA of Acanthosepion pharaonis, 111 nucleotides long. The record is from the annotation of a GenBank genome assembly. NCBI's taxonomy places the organism in Eukaryota, Metazoa, Mollusca, Cephalopoda, Sepiida, Sepiidae.
UACAGCCAUAUCACACUGAAACACUGGUUCCCAUAAAUCACUAAAGUUAAGUAUUGUCAAGCCUGGUCAGUACCUAGAUGGGUGACUCUUUGGGAAUAUCAGGUGCUGUAA